Molecule: long non-coding RNA, 676 nt
Filed under: Populus tremula
Lineage: Eukaryota; Viridiplantae; Streptophyta; Magnoliopsida; Malpighiales; Salicaceae
Description: long non-coding RNA (PTRE_LNC001013)
Source: RNAcentral
UAACCGAUCCCAAAAUUUUUUUUCCUCAUUUCUUAAUAUUUCUCUCAUUCAUUCAUUCCCUUCCAAUCUCACUCAAAUUUUACAACAACACACACACACGCAGAGAGUAAUUUCCUUCCCCUGACUUCACAUUUUCAUUUCACAAGAAACAAACACGCAGACCGGCUCCUCCUUCACAAGCUUAUAAUUCCAUUCCCCUCUCCCAUUCCCCCUCCCUCACGGUCAAUUCUCCUCUCCCACUCCCCUGUUACCUGUUCCCUCUCCCUCUCCCUUUCGGUCGAUUCCCCUGUCCCUGUUCCCUGCCCUCUCCCUCUUCGUCGAUUCCCCUGUUCCCUUACCCUCUCUCUCUCGGUCGAUCUAUCGGUUUCCCCGUGUUCCCUCUCUGUUUCUCUCGCUAUUUGUGCACAAAGAAGCAAAAAUUCAAGACAGAAGCAGGACAAAGAUGAAAGAUUGAAGGGGUAACAUGGCUCCUCCUUCCCAGUUCUCCUCCCUCUCUCCCCCGGCUACUGUUAAAAAAAAAAAAGAGAUCUUCCAUCCGGGAUAUGGUGGUGGAUCCGGGGAUGAGGUAACGAGGAGGGGAUGCUUUUUGCUGGGGAAGAUUGAUUAACACAGUUUGGGAAUUUUCAAUGCCUUUCUCUGCACUUGAUUUUGUGCCCUUGAUUUGGUUUAUUUGUUC